RNAcentral lists this transfer RNA (74 nucleotides) under Prymnesium neolepis. The record is from RNAcentral. Lineage: Eukaryota; Haptophyta; Prymnesiales; Prymnesiaceae.
GAUCGGCGCGAUGCUGCUGGCGUUCUUCAUGCAGAGCUCCAUCCUGCACCUGGCGGUGUCUGCUGGUUUCACCA